This 165-nucleotide unclassified non-coding RNA is filed under the name soil metagenome. RNAcentral's name for it is "partial internal transcribed spacer 1". The record is from RNAcentral.
CAGAGUUGAAAAACUCCCUAACCCUUUGUUUACAUACCUGUUCAGUUGCUAUCGGCAGGCGGCCCCAGGGCGGGGCCUCCAGCCUGCUCCACGCAGGUGCCUGCCGCUGGCGCAAAAAAACUCUUGUUAUAUAUUACCACUCUGAGUCUAAAAACAAAUGAAUCA